GACGAACGCUGGCGGCGUGCUUAACACAUGCAAGUCGAGCGGUAAGGCCCUUUCGGGGGUACACGAGCGGCGAACGGGUGAGUAACACGUGGGUGACCUGCCCUCAGCUCUGGGAUAAGCCUGGGAAACCGGGUCUAAUACUGGAUAUGACUCCAUGACGCAUGUUGUGGGGUGGAAAGCCUUGUGCGGCUGAGGAUGGGCCCGCGGCCUAUCAGCUUGUUGGUGGGGUGAGGCCUACCAAGGCGACGACGGGUAGCCGGCCUGAGAGGGCGACCGGCCACACUGGGACUGAGACACGGCCCAGACUCCUACGGGAGGCAGCAGUGGGGAAUCUUGCGCAAUGGCCGAAAGGCUGACGCAGCGACGCCGCGUGGAGGAUGACG
This 383-nucleotide ribosomal RNA is filed under the name uncultured bacterium. RNAcentral describes it as "bacterial SSU rRNA". It matches the Rfam family "Bacterial small subunit ribosomal RNA", at positions 28 to 413 of the family's 1533-position model. The record is from RNAcentral.